RNAcentral lists this small RNA (547 nucleotides) under Pongo abelii (Sumatran orangutan). RNAcentral's name for it is "processed transcript". The record is from RNAcentral. Lineage: Eukaryota; Metazoa; Chordata; Mammalia; Primates; Hominidae.
AGCGACUUUCGCUCCGAUGCGGGAAGAAAAGCCGACCUCCGAUUUGGACAUUUAAAGAGCUGGGCUUGGACUUGGUGAGUUUCGCUCUAAACUGCCCUUGAAAUGAAGCUGGACUUGGAGGUGGCUGAUCAAGACAGUAUGAAAUUUCAUACAGUUUCCUAACUUGAGAAAACGUGGUGAUGCAAUUCCUCUAACCAGGAGGGAUUUAUGGACAGCGGUGGCUCCGUCCUAAUCUGCCCUGAAUACAGGAUGACUAAACAAAUUGGCAGACGGAUGCAGCUUUCUCUCUCUCUAAGAAAAGUCUGCUGAGAACCCCCGUUCCCACUCUGUUUCUGCCUCCAAAAAGAAAAGCCUAAAACUCACUUUCUUCUGGACUCUUUCAAGGAAGCUGACUAAAAGAAGCUCCUAAAACAGAGGUGCAGACAAGGUGAUGUGGCUCUCAGAGGAAGGUGUGCUACCUACAACCCUGCUGGCUUCAUGGAAGAAUGUGCUUCUCAAAUGCAAAUCCAAUCAAGUUAUCCCCCUGCUUAAAUCCAAACUCGCUCAU